Molecule: long non-coding RNA, 3679 nt
Organism: Aquila chrysaetos chrysaetos
Lineage: Eukaryota; Metazoa; Chordata; Aves; Accipitriformes; Accipitridae
Exons: 3
Source: RefSeq, a predicted model, not a curated record
CGGCGCCGCCGGUGCUGGAGCGCGGCUGAGGCAGGGGAGCGGCUCUCGGCCCGCCAGGGCCGGGGGGGGGAGCCCCGGGGGGGGAGCCCGGGUUGCCCUCGCAGCUGCUCCGCGGGCCCGAGAGCUGGCAGCUGCCCGUGUUCCGUGACGGGCGCUGCUGCUGCGGAAGCUGCGUGGGAACAUUCUUUGAGAUCCGAGGCUUGCGACCUCUCCAGGGAAAGAGCUGCUGGUCAGAAAAAUACGAGGAGGACUUCUCGGUCCGGGGGCUGGAUUUUGGUUUUAAAGUCCAUGUAAAAAAAAUAAUGCAAGGAAAGAUCUGUGCCUGCUUGCGGGCCCGGCAGAUGGGGCGGUGGAGCAGGAGCGGAGGCAUUUUCCCAGGCAGCUUCCAGCAGUCCGGCUGAAUAACUGCUUCUGCUGAAGCAAAAGCAGCACUACUGAAUUCUUCACCCUGGGAAUCGCCUUCCUGCCAGCUAAAAUGCGACCUUUGGUAUCAUUAUGUCAGCUACAGCAUUCUGCUAGGACCAGAUUAAGAAAAGAAAGCAAAGAAGGGUCUGCUAAUUACAGCGAUCACAAGAUCCUGGUUCCUGUCGACCUCCAAAGCAAGCAACGAUCAAAACCAUCACAGCCACUGCCUGCCUCAUUCCAACACUUCUCCCUAAAGCACGGCGUGCUUUCAGAGACCAUCAGCAACAACAUCCCAUGGGAGUGUCCAUGGCAGAGGUGCUGGGUCUGAUGCCUGACCACAGGGCAUGUGUGAGAGGCGAGGACCCGACUCUACCAGGGCCUAUAAACAGACGGGGGGGGGGGGGGAGGCAACUUCUGCCUCAGAGGACUUGCAGACUACGGAGCACGGACAAAACUGAGGCGGCAGCAACCACCGUGAUUGAAGUACCAGGUACAGGAUCACACGAGUGAUCCUCAAGUUCAACCCCUGAACUGUUGAUGACAGCCUCAGACCCCCAAGGCAAAGUGCAUCUUAAAUAGAGUGAUGAUUUUUAAAUUGCUCAGCUCCUAUUUAAGACACCUAAAACUUAUUACUCCUACUGUCGCCACAGUCUGAUGCCAGGCACUUAAUUUAACUUCCCAAGUUAAGAGCCUAUCUCCCUUGCUAGGCACAUCAUUGAUGUGGAAAUGUAGAUCCCAUUUUGCCUAGAAGCGCCUCCAGCAGAUGCACCAUAACUGCUGCCUGUCCUAUGCUGGCCUCUGGAGAGACCUUCCCUCCUGCACGGACCACAGAGAGAGUCAAGGCUUCCAACUUUGGUUCCAUUGGAGAUGCCUGCAUUAUGUAGUUUAACUACACUCCUUCUGUUUCCUGUUUAAAAUAUUCCAAACUGCCCAUAUCAUAUUUGGGUGGCUCCUUCUUGGGCCCCUUUGGGAGCUCAUGCACAGCUUCUCUAGAAUUAUGCUUUGUGUGAUGUCCAAAGGUGGUCUAUACUCCCCAUCAUUGCCUUAAUGGAAGACACGUGCAGGAAUCCCUGUAUGAUUUUUACACCCCAAGACCUGGAGAUGCACACCCAACCUUCCCAACUUAUAUUAGGGGUCAGAAGCAAGUGACAACAAGUAGACUCUUCACAAGGACAGGUACAGGAUCCACUCUGCAGUGGCAAAGCAGACUUCCAGCACACAGAGGCAUAGCAGCUUUGACUGUCAAGGCACAGAAAUCAGCUCUACCAUCUUUCUUCCAUUGGCAUAGCUUUGCAUCCUUCAGCCUGACCCUCGCAAAGUUCCUUCUUGCUAUCUGGCAGUUACAGUCCCACAAGUUUUGCAGGUGUUUCCAGUUGGGAUGAGCACUGUAACAAGUUUUAUGCUACUAAUGCCUUAAGACAGGGGAAACUUGAGGAACAAAAGGGACAGGUGAGCGAAAGACCACGCCACGCAGCCAGCACUGGGCACGCAGAUCACACAUCAGCCACAGUGUGAGUACUCACCACUGGAAUGUCCUGCAGGAAAGGGGCCGGUGACAGUGUCCGGGCUGAGAGGACAUCAAACAAGGCAGUGGCACAGGAUGGGGGCCCUCCAGCUUCUGCAAGAAUCAAGAUAAUUCUCAACGGCAUUUCAAAACAAUGCCUUUUAAGAAGAAACCCAUGCCAGCAAGCGGUGUACAUGCAUCAGCCAUCCAAGAGCCUGAAAUAUUUUCCACUGUGCAGAUCUACAAAGCCACUGUGGAGUUGUCACAGAAGCCUUUAACCAGGUUUCAUCUGUCCUGUGGAAGUCAAUCCAACAAGGCCAACACCCAUUUUUCUCUCCAAACUGUACCUCUACAUGGGAUUUUUUUACUCAAGCAAUGAUGCAGCUGAAUGGAAAAUAGCCAUGGAGCAGUUUUCAACACUGAGCAAAGCCUAUGCUGUUGCUGGAAUCUAAAUUGGACAGCAUGAGGCUUUGGGGCUUUGCAGCAAGGAGUCUUUAAAUUAGGAAAGUGUGAAGACUUUCCUGUGGUUUGGCACAUGGGCAGCAUUCCAUAAAUGUAUCACAGAAAUUAAAUAUAGAAAAGACCUGUUGAUAGGUCUAAUCCAUUUUGCUUGGAUAGCACAGAAUUGGUUCCUAUGGGACAGUCUGCAUUGUUUGCUUGAGAAAAGUUUAAAAUUUCCUAGGUGAUGAAGCUUUCAUCAAUUCUUUUCAGGAAACAAUUAACAGCCUAACACAUCUCAGUGUCAAGAAAUUUUUCUGAGAUUCUUCCAAUUUUUUUUUAUUUUUGCAACGUACAGCUCCUAGGUAUGUCCUACUGGCAUUACUGUUAUAAAUAAUUUCCUUUCCACCUGAGUGCUUACACUUUCAAAUUUUUCUGGUGUGCCGCAUGACCUAGGCAGAGGACAGGAUUAUACAUAUGGUGAUUUCCCAGUUCAAUCCUUUUCUAUUCCUUCACAUAAGCUUUUCCUGUAAAAUCCUCAAUCAGCAAAUUUUUCUUUUCUAGAUUCUCCCUGGUUAGAUCACUGCUUUUUCAGCAAAAUGGUGAAAUGGAUGGAUGAAAGUCUCACAAGCACAGGACACAGCAUUCAGUAUUAAGCAUUUUGGCUUCCUUAGAAUGAGUGUGCUGUAGUUUUUCAUGCGCUGUAAUACCCUGUAUGUUCCUGAGCUGUCAAUCAUUUCAGCAUUUGUUUUAUCUUCAACCACAAGUACAGUUUUUAGCAUUGGAAUGUAUGCCAAGUCUUUAGCAACUAGAGCACAAGCUCCUCUUCAGUACUUGUUUUGUUCAAGUUCAAUGCAUAAUGUAGGUCUCAUCUUGGUGUUGGUGGAAAGCUUACUCAUGGCAUUUAGCCACUCUUUAAUUUGGCAUGGUGGAUAAAAGUUAGCACUGUAGCUCUGGAACACGGUGUGCUGGCAGAAGUGCUGGGUCAGGAUCUAGAAAUGGAGCAGCAGUUAAGUGCCACAGUUGAAGAGAGCAGGUGAGCCAGGACCUGAGAUUACAAUACUGUUGACCAGGACCACAUUCAUCAGUGGGUUUUAGAGCUGAGAGAGAGUGGCACCGUUUAAACACGGCUCUGUGAGCAGUCAGGACUGCAGUCAGAGCAUGAAUGAGUUAAGGAUGGCUCUGGUGGAGAACACUUGGAAAUUUUUACAUUUCAGGGGAAGACUUUCUGAGACCUCAAAGACAGUGUCAUUCAUCUCUUUUCUCAAGACAGGCACUUGUCUAGUUUCUCACCUGUACAAUGCAAACUGUGAGAUGUACUCCAUUCUUUGU